This 116-nucleotide small RNA is filed under the name Salmonella enterica. Its description in RNAcentral is "partial RtT sRNA". It matches the Rfam family "RtT RNA", at positions 1 to 114 of the family's 130-position model. From Rfam's summary of the family: This family represents a bacterial cis-regulatory element known as RtT RNA. The exact function of RtT is unknown although it is thought that it may be involved in changing the cellular response in relation to amino acid starvation. RNAcentral also lists the same sequence under 3 other names. Lineage: Bacteria; Pseudomonadati; Pseudomonadota; Gammaproteobacteria; Enterobacterales; Enterobacteriaceae. The record is from RNAcentral.
AUAUCUCUCUGUACGGGAAGGAUGAGAAGCUUCGACUAAGGUUCGAUUCGAGCGUCAGCGAGAAAGCGUUGCCGCAGGCAACGACCCGAAGGGCGAAGCGCGCAGCGCUGAGUCAU